GACGUAGGGUGCGAGCGUUGUCCGGAUUUAUUGGGCGUAAAGAGCUCGUAGGCGGCUCGUCGCGUCGGCUGUGAAAUCCUGCUGCUUAACGGUGGGCUUGCAGUCGAUACGGGCGGGCUAGAGUUCGGUAGGGGAGACUGGAAUUCCUGGUGUAGCGGUGAAAUGCGCAGAUAUCAGGAGGAACACCGGUGGCGAAGGCGGGUCUCUGGGCCGAUACUGACGCUGAGGAGCGAAAGCGUGGGGAGCGAACAGG
This 253-nucleotide ribosomal RNA is filed under the name uncultured bacterium. Its description in RNAcentral is "partial 16S ribosomal RNA". It matches the Rfam family "Bacterial small subunit ribosomal RNA", at positions 524 to 776 of the family's 1533-position model. The record is from RNAcentral.